GACGAACGCUGGCGGCGUGCUUAACACAUGCAAGUCGAACGCUGAAGCUUGGUGCUUGCACUGGGUGGAUGAGUGGCGCACGGGUGAGUAAUACGUGAGUAACCUGCCCUUGACUCUGGGAUCAUCCUGAGAAACUGGGUCUAAUACUGGAUACGACAUGUCACCGCAUGGUGGUUUGUGGAAAUGGUUUUACUGGUUUUGGAUGGGCUCACGGCCUAUCAGCUUGUUGGUGGGGUAAUGGCUCACCAAGGCGACGACGGGUAGCCGGCCUGAGAGGGUGACCGGCCACACUGGGACUGAGACACGGCCCAGACUCCUACGGGAGGCAGCAGUGGGGAAUAUUGCACAAUGGGCGGAAGCCUGAUGCAGCGACGCCGCGUGAGGGAUGACGGCCUUCGGGUUGUAAACCUCUUUCAGCACGGAAGAAGCGAGAGUGACGGUACGUGCAGAAGAAGCGCCGGCUAACUACGUG
This 472-nucleotide ribosomal RNA is filed under the name uncultured bacterium. RNAcentral describes it as "partial 16S ribosomal RNA". It matches the Rfam family "Bacterial small subunit ribosomal RNA", at positions 28 to 507 of the family's 1533-position model. The record is from RNAcentral.